CUUCUCUUCCCAUCACUCUGGUGCAAGUUGAUCUUGGUCUCAUCGGUCCAUAGGAUGUUGUUCCAGAACUGUGAAGGCUUUUUUAGAUGUUGUUUGGCAAACUCUAAUCUGGCCUUCCUGUUUUUGAGGCUUACCAAUGGUUUACAUCUUGUGAACCUUCUGUAUUCACUCUGAAUCUGGCCAACUGUUGGUAAGGGUGUUUUCUUCACCAG
RNAcentral lists this long non-coding RNA (212 nucleotides) under Pelobates cultripes (western spadefoot toad). Lineage: Eukaryota; Metazoa; Chordata; Amphibia; Anura; Pelobatidae. The record is from RNAcentral.